RNAcentral lists this transfer RNA (76 nucleotides) under Helicobacter sp. RNAcentral describes it as "tRNA-Val". It matches the Rfam family "tRNA". Rfam says of the family: Transfer RNA (tRNA) molecules are approximately 80 nucleotides in length. Their secondary structure includes four short double-helical elements and three loops (D, anti-codon, and T loops). The record is from RNAcentral. Lineage: Bacteria; Pseudomonadati; Campylobacterota; Epsilonproteobacteria; Campylobacterales; Helicobacteraceae. RNAcentral also lists the same sequence under 1 other name.
GGUAGCGUAGCUCAGUUGGUAGAGCACUAUCUUGACAUGGUAGGGGUCGCUGGUUCGAGUCCAGUCGCAACCACCA